RNAcentral lists this ribosomal RNA (267 nucleotides) under uncultured bacterium. RNAcentral's name for it is "partial 16S ribosomal RNA". The record is from RNAcentral.
CUGCUGCCUCCCGUAGGAGUCUGGGCCGUGUCUCAGUCCCAGUGUGGCCGUCCACCCUCUCAGGCCGGCUGCUGAUCGUCGCUUUGGUGGGCCGUUACCCCGCCAACUGGCUAAUCAGACGCGGGCCCAUCCUGUACCACCGGAGUUUUCAAAGGAUUACCAUGCGGUAUUCCCUAUUAUGCGGUAUUAGCACCUAUUUCUAAGUGUUAUCCCCCGGUACAGGGCAGGUUGCCCACGCGUUACUCACCCGUCCGCCACUAAGACAGA